GAUGAACGCUGGCGGCGUGCCUAAUACAUGCAAGUCGAGCGAACAGAUGAGGAGCUUGCUCCUCUGACGUUAGCGGCGGACGGGUGAGUAACACGUGGAUAACCUACCUAUAAGACUGGGAUAACUUCGGGAAACCGGAGCUAAUACCGGAUAAUAUAUUGAACCGCAUGGUUCAAUAGUGAAAGACGGUUUUGCUGUCACUUAUAGAUGGAUCCGCGCCGCAUUAGCUAGUUGGUAAGGUAACGGCGUACCAAGGCAACGAUGCGUAGCCGACCUGAGAGGGUGAUCAGCCACACUGGAACUGAGACACGGUCCAGACUCCUACGGGAGGCAGCAGUAGGGAAUCUUCCGCAAUGGGCGAAAGCCUGACGGAGCAACGCCGCGUGAGUGAUGAAGGUCUUCGGAUCGUAAAACUCUGUUAUUAGGGAAGAACAAAUGUGUAAGUAACUAUGCACGUCUUGACGGUACCUAAUCAGAAAGCCACGGCUAACUACGUG
RNAcentral lists this ribosomal RNA (497 nucleotides) under uncultured bacterium. RNAcentral's name for it is "partial 16S ribosomal RNA". It matches the Rfam family "Bacterial small subunit ribosomal RNA", at positions 28 to 507 of the family's 1533-position model. The record is from RNAcentral.